CCCUUAGAUGUUCUGGGCUGCACGCGUGCUACACUGAUAUUGCCAAUAUGUCAUUCUUAUCCGAAAUGGAUUGGGUAAUCAAGUAAUGAAAUUUCAUGCUUGGAAUCGGUAAUUGCAAUUUUAUCGUGAACGAGGAAUUCCUAGUAAGCACUAGUCAUCAGCUAAUGUUGAUUAUGUCCCUGCCCUUUGUACACACCGUCCGUCGCUACUACUGAUUGGGUGUUCAAGUGAGAUGCUUAGACCCUUGUUGCAUGGUUCAUUAUUGUGCUCCGAAAGGAAAAAGUUUCAAGCUUGAGUGUCUAGAGGAAGUAAAAGUCGUAACA
RNAcentral lists this ribosomal RNA (323 nucleotides) under uncultured eukaryote. Its description in RNAcentral is "partial 18S ribosomal RNA". It matches the Rfam family "Eukaryotic small subunit ribosomal RNA", at positions 1470 to 1796 of the family's 1831-position model. The record is from RNAcentral.